UGCAAGUCGAACGGUAACAGCACUUCGGUGGCUGACGAGUGGCGGACGGGUGAGUAAUACAUCGGAACGUGCCCGAUCGUGGGGGAUAACUACUCGAAAGAGUGGCUAAUACCGCAUACGAUCUACGGAUGAAAGCGGGGGAUCGCAAGACCUCGCGCGGACGGAGCGGCCGAUGGCAGAUUAGGUAGUUGGUGGGAUAAAAGCUUACCAAGCCGACGAUCUGUAGCUGGUCUGAGAGGACGACCAGCCACACUGGGACUGAGACACGGCCCAGACUCCUACGGGAGGCAGCAGUGGGGAAUUUUGGACAAUGGGCGCAAGCCUGAUCCAGCCAUGCCGCGUGUGGGAAGAAGGCCUUCGGGUUGUAAACCACUUUUGUCAGGGAAGAAACGGUCUGAUCUAAUAAAUCGGACUAAUGACGGUACCUGAAGAAUAAGCACCGGCUAACUACGUGCCAGCAGCCGCGGUAAUACGUAGGGUGCAAGCGUUAAUCGGAAUUACUGGGCGUAAAGCGUGCGCAGGCGGCUAUGCAAGACAGAUGUGAAAUCCCCGGGCUCAACCUGGGAACUGCAUUUGUGACUGCAUGGCUAGAGUACGGCAGAGGGGGAUGGAAUUCCGCGUGUAGCAGUGAAAUGCGUAGAUAUGCGGAGGAACACCGAUGGCGA
This 665-nucleotide ribosomal RNA is filed under the name uncultured bacterium. RNAcentral describes it as "bacterial SSU rRNA". It matches the Rfam family "Bacterial small subunit ribosomal RNA", at positions 56 to 718 of the family's 1533-position model. The record is from RNAcentral.